Helianthus annuus (common sunflower) is the source of this 4396-nucleotide long non-coding RNA. RefSeq lists it as uncharacterized. The transcript is spliced from 14 exons. The record is from RefSeq and is a predicted model, not a curated record. NCBI's taxonomy places the organism in Eukaryota, Viridiplantae, Streptophyta, Magnoliopsida, Asterales, Asteraceae.
CUGUAUAUUUCUUGCGUACGCUCCCUCAACCGUUGCCCCUAAAAUUAUCAAUAUAAACUCACUUCCACCUUCACCUUAAAUCCUCUUCUUUCUUUCUCUCUCUAAAAUUUCUCUGAUUCAAUUGCUGGUUAUAUAAUUGAUACAAUCACAAAUCCAAAUCAAUAAACCCAGAUCAACAAGAUGAAACAUAUCAAUUCAAUUGCGGCGUUUCUAGAAGUGAUUAUCAUGUCGUUGCUGAUGAAUCUCAACCUCAGCCAAUCCAAUCAAUCGAUACUGCUUCCCACUUGACUUCGCUGCUUCUUCACAUAAGGAAACCCUAGAAGCGAAAUCUCAACCUCAGAUUGGGGUCCGGGGACCCCGGUGGCACCAAUGUGGGUCCGCCCCUGCAUGUGUGUAGUAUGGAGCAACAAGGGUGGAUAUUGAUCUUGCUGGCUAACGGUUCUGGGAGCGAAAAGGAGAUCAAAAGGCCAUCAUAUGGCUUCAUUAUCGUACAUGGGAAAUUUGAGAUGAAUCUGAUUGAUGAACAAAAUCUCAGUUUAUAGCAAUUUGUAGAAUCCUUAACCCUCUGUUUUCUUGAUGUGGACUGUCACAAAUCCGGAUUGAGAAUAAAGUUCAUGAUUACAUGAACUCACAAGCCAAAUUCGAAGACAAGAUGUGGGCGAUUCUGAAUGUCUGGCUGAAUGAAGAUCAACUAUGGAUAAUCUUUCUAGAGUCACUCACAAGAUGAAAGAUGUUGACAUCGACAUCCAGAUGGAUAGUAACAAAGACGGGUUUGUUGACUUCAUGGAAUUUGUUGCAGCCACUCUUCAUGUUCAUCAGUUGGAAGAUCAAGACUCGGAAAAAUGGCUACAUUUAUCACCGUCAGCUUUUGAGAAAUUUGAUGUUGACGGGGAUGGAUAUAUAACUCCAGAGGAGCUUAGAAUGAUUUGGUGAUAAGUGGAUCAAUAAGGAGAUGACGACAAUGACGGUGAUGAUAAAUGUUGAAUAUAUGUUCAUGCUUUUGGUUCUGUAUGGUUCCUUAUUUUUGCAAAACCUGAGGUUUAUAUCGUGACAGUUGAAGGAGAGCCAGUGAUAAGUUAUAGGGGUGGCAUUGAUGGUUUUGAAGCUACUGCUGUUGAAUCUGAUCAGAAACUUGAUGUCACUAGGUUAGUGAUCUUAUAACCUCCCUUUACUAACAAUCCACUGCUUAGUAGCUAUCCACUGAUGUACUAACUAUCCACUGAUAACCCCCCUUUACUAACUAUCCACUACUUACUAGCUAUCCACUGAUAUUACUACAUAACAGUGGAUAUUACUAACAUAUCAUAAUAGUGGAUACUACUAACAGUGGAUAUUACUAAAAUAUCAGAAUGGCUAAUGGAAAAAGUUGUUGAGGAGGUAUUUCUUUUUGUGUAUGUAUCGAUUCUUUACUAAAAAAAAUGGCAGUUUUUUUUUUUCAACGUCAGUUGAAGUUUCCUAUGUUUUCUGCAUGUUUUUCGCUACUUGGGUACACUCCCUCAACCGUUGCCCCUAAAAUUAUCAAUAUAAACUCCUUCACCUUCACUUUCAAAUCCUCUUCUUUUUAAAAUUUCUCUGAUUUCGAUUGCUGGUUAUAAUGGAUACAAUCACAAAUCCAAAUCAGUAAGAUGGAACAUAUCAAUUCAAUUGCGGUGUUGAAUCAUUGCUUUAUCCCAAUAAAACUCCCUUCCCUUUUCAUACUUCUGAAGAAUCAUUCUUCGUUUGUUGAAUCAUUGCUUUAUCGUCAACUCUUGGCGGGGUAAAAUUCGGAGGGCUCGUGGUAGAAAUUGAUAGUUUCUACCAUUGAAGCAACCGUGAUUUUGCAGCCAUGUAGUUCAUCAUGCUCGCCACUCAGUUGAAUUGGUACUCACUUCUGUGAAUACCUAUUUAAAUUGCAAAUUAGGGUUUCAAAUUGGGGUUGAGGAUGUUCUGCAACAGGUCCCUUCAUCGCGUUUUCAUUCAAGCGAUUCUUUCGUUCAUACCUCACUCCCCAGUGUCGAUUUUUUUUGUAGAUUUCUCAAGGUGUUUGAUGAAAUGCUACAUAUGAUCAAGUGGAGCAAUUGUUAAAAUUCUCUUUGUUUUAUGAUUCUUAUGUUUUCUGUGUGGGGAUUCGAGGGGUUUCGGAGGGCGAAGAGGGGUUUCGGAAGGGGGUUUGUCGAGUCGAAUUGUUCCUGGUGGAAUGCUGCGGUUAGCGGGUUUGGGAAUUCCGGGAAGGGGAGUGAUACGGGUAAAUGAUCAGUGGUUUAGAAGAUGUUGUUAGGAAUCAGUGGAUCCAUCAACAGUGGAUGAACAACAGAGGUUGUUAAUAACAGUGGAUUAGCAGCAGAGGUGGUUAGCUAACAGUGGAUCAGCAACAGAGUUUGUUAGUUAACAGGGGUUAGCAACAGAGGUUGUUAAUAACAGUGGAUUAGCAGCAGAGGUGGUUAGUUAACAGUGGAUCAACAACAAAGGUUGUUAAUAACAGUGGAUUAGCAGCAGAGGUGGUUAGCUAACAGUGGAUCAGCAACAGAGGUUGUUAGUUAACAGGGGUUAGCAACAGAGGUUGUUAGUUAGUUGGGCGGUUACCUGAAUAUCAGGAGUUUAAGAACAUGGAAGCAUCCCAGAAAUCGUUCCCACGCUCAUCUUCUUCAAUCUUCCAUGGUGGCUAAGGUAAGAUUAUGUUUUCAACGCUUAUCUCUCCAAGCAAUUUUUCUAUUUUUCGUUUGAUUUUUUUACUAAUUGGCGAUCGUGUGAAGUUAAUACAAUAAUUUAAAGUGAUGAAAGGAUAUCAAAUGAAGCAGAAUGUGAAAAUCAGUAGACUAGAGCAAGAAUUGGUUUGAUUCCGUUGGCAAGGAUGACCCCAAUUGAAGAUGAUGAUUAAAAUGGGGAAGGAGUGGAGGAGUUGAUUAAUUGAUUUCCUCUCUCAAAUCUCAACAUCACUGUAAGUUCAAUCUAAUCAUCUCAUCAAUCGAUUGAUUGAUUCUUUUCACCUGGUUGGUAUUAAAUCCCACCACCCCUGCUCUAGUUAUGUAUGGUUGAAGGUUGUGUUGAAAGAGUUCCGAUAUGUCUUCUUUGUUCGAUCACCUCGAACAAAAAACCUCUUCUCAAAUCCCGAAUCAUUCAAUUUCCUCUCUUAAUUCUCUCGGGCUCUGAUUUUGGGGGUUCUUGGUGAUAUAGUCGACUGUCAUGGAACCGAAUUUGGGAGUUCUUGGUGGUAUAUUGGGCUGUCAUGGGAGAAGAAGGCGUGUAUCAGGAAGCAAGGCAUUCACUGUCAAUUAGGUGAAAGAGGAAGUUGAAUCAGCAAUAUAAAAACAUAUAGCUGGUGGAAUGACAAUUUCUUCACUUGAGAUCAAUCAUCUUGAUCGUUAUGUGCUUUCUAUAGCAUAUACUUUUACUCAGACUAGACUAUAUGAUGGCCUUGUAAGAAACCAUUUACAUAUUAAGCCACUGACCAGGGAAGAACGUCAACAUCACCUAUUCCCAGAGCAAAUAAGCACAACUCCGACAAAACAUGCUGAGUAAUGAAUUCAAGGUUGGUGCUUACAAGGUGUUGCGUGAUGGGAUGGGAAGAAGGUGAAGAAGGGCUUGGGAAGGAGAAACAAGGGAUCAAAGGUCAUGUUAAGGUUACUAGCAUGUUUGGGGAUUUUGGAAAAGCCGAAACGAGCUAGUGUUUUCUAGAAAAAGGCUGAACAUCGAUCGAGUAUUUGCAGAGAUUCAGGCCAUGGCGUUUCUGUGGUUUAAGAAUAGGGCGAAAUAAAGGAUUGUUAACUUUUUUUGACAGGGCAUAUGGGCUGAAUGAUGCAAUGUAAGAACAUCUGUUUAAUUUAAGAAGCUUCAGAUGCAAUGUAAGAGCAUCGAUUUAUUAGAAAUUAUAUAUUAUUAUUAUUUUAGCAUGGACUUGAAUGAUGCAAGUUCUUUUUUAAAGGUUUUCAGUAUGUAUUACUUGAUGAGAUCAAAAGGACUGUUAACUUUUCUUGACAGUGCAUAUGGGGUCAAUAUAAAAUUUUAGUCUUUCUAAGGUGUAUUUCUACAUGUGAGGUCUGCGGACCACCAAAUUAUUAUGUGGGAUUAUAUUCUUAUGCAUUUUGAGAUUGCCAAACAGGCAGAGUGUCCCUAUGACAUUACUAUGAUAAUAUUUAACUUGAGUAAUAUUUCAAGUUUGACAUUCCAGAUUUGAAAGUCCAACCUCUUUUGACGGGGCAUCGGAAGUAACUGGAUGUGGGAAUGGAUUUGAAACCCCGGAUCGGAUGCGGAGCUUCAUCAGGUGUCUGUUUGCUAACAUUUGUUUACCAUUGCUUAAUUGUCACACCCCAACCGAUGGCGGAAACAUCGGGAUGAGACGAAGUGUGUAAAGAUUGCUAGAGACGUCAUAACACUAUGUGACAAUAUUUAAUUAAUUUCAAAUUUCAUUUCAAAACUA